UCCCAUGUAGUGCAGAGGUUUAGCAUACUGGGUUUUCACCCCAGAGACCCGGGUUCGAACCCCGGCGUGGGAA
Molecule: transfer RNA, 73 nt
Filed under: Neurospora pannonica FGSC 7221
Lineage: Eukaryota; Fungi; Ascomycota; Sordariomycetes; Sordariales; Sordariaceae
Also listed under: 3 other names
Description: tRNA-Glu (TTC) (tRNA-Glu-TTC-2-1)
Rfam family: tRNA
About the family: Transfer RNA (tRNA) molecules are approximately 80 nucleotides in length. Their secondary structure includes four short double-helical elements and three loops (D, anti-codon, and T loops). Further hydrogen bonds mediate the characteristic L-shaped molecular structure. tRNAs have two regions of fundamental functional importance: the anti-codon, which is responsible for specific mRNA codon recognition, and the 3' end, to which the tRNAs corresponding amino acid is attached (by aminoacyl-tRNA synthetases). tRNAs cope with the degeneracy of the genetic code in two manners: having more than one tRNA (with a specific anti-codon) for a particular amino acid; and 'wobble' base-pairing, i.e. permitting non-standard base-pairing at the 3rd anti-codon position.
Source: RNAcentral